CUUUCUUUGCUGGCGACCGGCGCACGGGUGAGUAACACGUAUCCAACCUGCCCUUUACUCGGGGAUAGCCUUUCGAAAGAAAGAUUAAUACCCGAUAGCAUAAUGAUUCCGCAUGGUUUCAUUAUUAAAGGAUUCCGGUAAAGGAUGGGGAUGCGUUCCAUUAGGUUGUUGGUGAGGUAACGGCUCACCAAGCCUUCGAUGGAUAGGGGUUCUGAGAGGAAAGUCCCCCACAUUGGAACUGAGACACGGUCCAA
Molecule: ribosomal RNA, 254 nt
Filed under: uncultured bacterium
Lineage: Bacteria
Description: partial 16S ribosomal RNA
Rfam family: Bacterial small subunit ribosomal RNA
Source: RNAcentral